UACAGAGGGUGCAAGCGUUGUUCGGAAUUAUUGGGCGUAAAGCGCGUGUAGGCGGCAUUGCAAGUCGGGUGUGAAAUCCCUCGGCUUAACCGGGGAACUGCGUCUGAUACUGGAUGGCUUGAGUUUGGGAGAGGGAUGCGGAAUUCCAGGUGUAGCGGUGAAAUGCGUAGAUAUCUGGAGGAACACCGGUGGCGAAGGCGGCAUCCUGGACCAACACUGACACUGAGGAGCGAAAGCCAGGGGAGCAAACGGG
Molecule: ribosomal RNA, 253 nt
Filed under: uncultured bacterium
Lineage: Bacteria
Description: partial 16S ribosomal RNA
Rfam family: Bacterial small subunit ribosomal RNA
Source: RNAcentral